UGUAAAAUUUUAAAGGUCGAACAGACCUAAUAUUAUAGCUUCUACACCAAAAAUUAAUUUUAAUCCAACAUCGAGGUCGCAAUCUUUUUUUUUAAUAUGAACUUUAUAAAAAAAUUACGCUGUUAUCCCUAAGGUAAUUUUAUCUUAUAAUCAAAAAUAUUGGRUCAUUUAUUCAUAAAUUUAUGUUUAAAAAUAAAAAAAAAGUUUAUUAAAUUUUUCAAUCACCCCAAUUAAAUUAUUAAAUAAAAUAUAUAAAUAAAUACUAAAAUAUAAUUUUUAUUUAAUAAUUAAACUCUAUAGGGUCUUCUCGUCUUUUAAAUUCAAUUAAGCUUUUUAACUUAAAA
RNAcentral lists this ribosomal RNA (344 nucleotides) under Chrysolina lucidicollis grossepunctata. RNAcentral's name for it is "16S ribosomal RNA". The record is from RNAcentral. Lineage: Eukaryota; Metazoa; Arthropoda; Insecta; Coleoptera; Chrysomelidae.